RNAcentral lists this ribosomal RNA (158 nucleotides) under Tilletiaria anomala. RNAcentral describes it as "5.8S ribosomal RNA". It matches the Rfam family "5.8S ribosomal RNA". From Rfam's summary of the family: 5.8S ribosomal RNA (5.8S rRNA) is a component of the large subunit of the eukaryotic ribosome. It is transcribed by RNA polymerase I as part of the 45S precursor that also contains 18S and 28S rRNA. Lineage: Eukaryota; Fungi; Basidiomycota; Exobasidiomycetes; Georgefischeriales; Tilletiariaceae. The record is from RNAcentral.
AAACUUUCGACAACGGAUCUCUUGGUUCUCCCAUCGAUGAAGAACGCAGCGAAAUGCGAUAAGUAAUGUGAAUUGCAGAAUUCAGUGAAUCAUCGAAUCUUUGAACGCACCUUGCGCUCUUGGGUAUUCCCAAGAGCAUGCCUGUUGGAGUGUCAUGA